RNAcentral lists this ribosomal RNA (433 nucleotides) under uncultured bacterium. RNAcentral describes it as "partial 16S ribosomal RNA". It matches the Rfam family "Bacterial small subunit ribosomal RNA", at positions 29 to 507 of the family's 1533-position model. The record is from RNAcentral.
AACGAACGCUGGCGGCAUGCCUAACACAUGCAAGUCGAACGAGACCUUCGGGGCUAGUGGCGCACGGGUGCGUAACGCGUGGGAACCUGCCCUUAGGUUCGGAAUAACUCCCCGAAAGGGGUGCUAAUACCGGAUAAUGUCUUCGGGCCAAAGAUUUAUCGCCUUUGGAUGGGCCCGCGUUUGAUUAGCUAGUUGGUAGGGUAAAAGCCUACCAAGGCGACGAUCCAUAGCUGGUCUGAGAGGAUGAUCAGCCACACUGGGACUGAGACACGGCCCAGACUCCUACGGGAGGCAGCAGUGGGGAAUAUUGGACAAUGGGCGAAAGCCUGACGCAGCCAUGCCGCGUGAGUGAUGAAGGCCUUAGGGUUGUAAAGUUCUUUUACCCGGGAUGAUAAUGACGGUACCGGGAGAAUAAGCUCCGGCUAACUCCGUG